This 260-nucleotide unclassified non-coding RNA is filed under the name Hevea brasiliensis (rubber tree). The record is from RNAcentral. Lineage: Eukaryota; Viridiplantae; Streptophyta; Magnoliopsida; Malpighiales; Euphorbiaceae.
AUCAAAUGCAAGAUUGAAAAGAAAUUUAACGUGCAAGAUCGGUACAAGAAUACUAUAUCGGCAAAGGAUGUUGUUAGAAUCAUUGAUGGUCCUUGCAAAGGGAAACAAGGUCCCGUAGAGCACAUAUACAGAGGAAUCUUGUUUAUCUAUGAUCGCCAUCACCUUGAACAUGCUGGAUUUAUCUGUGUUAAAUCCCAUUCUUGCGUUGUUGUGGGAGGAAGUCGAGCCCAUGGUGAUAGAAAUGGUGAUUCCUAUUCAAG